GCAGCGACGCCGCGUGAGGGAUGAAGGCCUUCGGGUUGUAAACCUCUUUCAGCAGGGAAGAAGCGCAAGUGACGGUACCUGCAGAAGAAGCGCCGGCUAACUACGUGCCAGCAGCCGCGGUAAUACGUAGGGCGCAAGCGUUGUCCGGAAUUAUUGGGCGUAAAGAGCUCGUAGGCGGUUUGUCGCGUCUGGUGUGAAAACUCGAGGCUCAACCUCGAGCUUGCAUCGGGUACGGGCAGACUAGAGUGCGGUAGGGGAGACUGGAAUUCCUGGUGUAGCGGUGGAAUGCGCAGAUAUCAGGAGGAACACCGAUGGCGAAGGCAGGUCUCUGGGCCGCAACUGACGCUGAGGAGCGAAAGCAUGGGGAGCGAACAGGAUUAGAUACCCUGGUAGUCCAUGCCGUAAACGUUGGGCACUAGGUGUGGGGCUCAUUCCACGAGUUCCGUGCCGCAGCAAACGCAUUAAGUGCCCCGCCUGGGGAGUACGGCCGCAAGGCUAAAACUCAAAGGAAUUGACGGGGGCCCGCACAAGCGGCGGAGCAUGCGGAUUAAUUCGAUGCAACGCGAAGAACCUUACCAAGGCUUGACA
This is a ribosomal RNA of 588 nucleotides. It matches the Rfam family "Bacterial small subunit ribosomal RNA", at positions 388 to 986 of the family's 1533-position model.